GCCCGCAUAGCUCAGUUGGUAGAGCACCUGAUUUGUAAUCAGGAUGUCGGGGGUUCGAGACCCUCUGCGGGCUCCA
Molecule: transfer RNA, 76 nt
Filed under: Burkholderiales bacterium
Lineage: Bacteria; Pseudomonadati; Pseudomonadota; Betaproteobacteria; Burkholderiales
Also listed under: 3 other names
Description: tRNA-Thr
Rfam family: tRNA
About the family: Transfer RNA (tRNA) molecules are approximately 80 nucleotides in length.
Source: RNAcentral